RNAcentral lists this long non-coding RNA (662 nucleotides) under Struthio camelus australis. Its description in RNAcentral is "lncRNA (ENSSCUG00000004886.1)". Lineage: Eukaryota; Metazoa; Chordata; Aves; Struthioniformes; Struthionidae. The record is from RNAcentral.
CUCAGCUGCCAGCCUUUGGACAAACGACCAUCAGAACUGGAGUGGGUUGUGCCUACUUUCAUUGUAGGCAGUCAGAAGGUACUGGACUCUAGGAGUCCCUUCCGCUCAUUUGUAGAGAACAUAGUGCUGCUUAUCUGCUGUGAUCGAUCCAGUUUCGAAUUGACUCGAGCUUCAUACUGGCCCAGGAUGAAGGAAGUACUUCCUGAAGAAUAUAGGAAUGGAAAUGACUUUGAGGUAUAAAUACAUAACAAGAGGUCCCAAAACUGAGAGACCUGCAAGGACAAAUAUGUAUUCAAUGGGACAUGAAGAAACUGGUCCUUGAGAGACAGUUUUGGACCAGGGAUGAAGUAGCCCAGCUUAGCAGUAGCGCCACAUGUCCAACAUGUUCAACACUGCCGCAAAUCAGAGAAUCGAUUCUUCCACUGUUUUGCCAGUUACCUUUUUGGGGACUUCUCCUAAGUGAACUUCAGAACCACAGAACUCUGACCAUCACAAGGCGAAAACAAGUACUGCAGGUUAAUGAGUUGGGGAAAAAUCCAUCUUUUUUCCUAAAAUACUUUGUGAAUGAGAAGGUCUUUUCAAAUUAUUUUAAAGAUGAAGACCAAGGAAGGAAUGCAUAUAACAAUGCUAACACAAAGCAUGGGGAGAUUAUGGCAGAUUAA